Transfer RNA from Felis catus (domestic cat), 85 nucleotides. It matches the Rfam family "tRNA". Rfam says of the family: Transfer RNA (tRNA) molecules are approximately 80 nucleotides in length. Their secondary structure includes four short double-helical elements and three loops (D, anti-codon, and T loops). NCBI's taxonomy places the organism in Eukaryota, Metazoa, Chordata, Mammalia, Carnivora, Felidae. The record is from Rfam.
GCCUGGGUGGCUCAGUUGGUUGAGUAUCCAACUUUGGCUCAGGUCAUGAUCUUGUGGUUUGUGGGUUCGAGCCCCACAUCAGGCA